This 774-nucleotide ribosomal RNA is filed under the name uncultured Neocallimastigales. RNAcentral's name for it is "partial large subunit ribosomal RNA". It matches the Rfam family "Eukaryotic large subunit ribosomal RNA", at positions 17 to 616 of the family's 3401-position model. The record is from RNAcentral. Lineage: Eukaryota; Fungi; Neocallimastigomycota; Neocallimastigomycetes; Neocallimastigales.
AGAGAGAGCCAUGCGCGCAUAUCAAUAAGCGGAGGAAAAGAAACUAACAAGGAUUCCCCUAGUAACGGCGAGUGAAGCGGGAAGAGCUCAAAUUUGAAAUCUUAAAGGGUUUCCCUUUACGAAUUGUAGUUUAAAGAAGUGUUUUCUGUUGAGGUUUUGGUAAAAGUUCUUUGGAAUAGGACAUCAUAGAGGGUGAGAAUCCCGUAUUUGACCUUUACUUUCAACUUUGUGAUACACUUUCAAAGAGUCGGAUUGUUUGGGAAUGCAGUCCAAAAUGGGUGGUAAAUUUCAUCUAAAGCUAAAUAUUGGCGAGAGACCGAUAGCGAACAAGUACCGUGAGGGAAAGAUGAAAAGAACUUUGAAAAGAGAGUUAAACAGUACGUGAAAUUGUCAAAAGGGAAGCGUUUGACACCAGUGUUGUUUUUCUGAAAAUCAAUUAAAGAACUGUUUAUGCUAAGUUGUUUAGACUUUAUCAGCUAACUGUUUAGUUUUGAGCUUUUCUUUAAUGCACUUUUCAGUUAACAAGUCAACAUCAAUUUCUUUUGCUGUAAAAAAGCUUGAGGAAGGUGGCUUGAGAUUCGUCUUAAGUGUUUAUAGCCUCUUGCCUAUGCAGUCGGAGAGAUUGAGGUCUGCAGCGUAGAUCCUUCGGGGCUAAAUGCAUUUGUGCUAAGUUAUAGCAUUUUAUAGACAACUUGUUGACUAUGAUUUGUCUUGUAGCUUACUCGCUUAUGUUAUUUUACCUACGCUUAGGAUGUUGAGCGCAUGUCUCUCUCU